UUUCUGCCACCGAAUACAUUAGCAUGGGAUAAUGGAAUAGGACCCUGUCCUCCUAUUUUCAGUUGGUUUUGGCAGCGCGAGGACUAGGGUAAUGAUUAAUAGGGAUAGUUGGGGGCAUUAAUAUUUAAUUGUCAGAGGUGAAAUUCUUGGAUUUAUGAAAGAUUAACUUCUGCGAAAGCAUCUGCCAAGGAUGUUUUCAUUAAUCAAGAACGAAAGUUAGGGGAUCGAAGACGAUCAGAUACCGUCGUAGUCUUAACCAUAAACGAUGCCGACCAGCGAUUAGGAGACGUUGAAUACAAAACACCACCAUCGGCGCGGUCGUCCUUGGCGUUCGUGUUCACGCACGGGCGCGAGGGCGGCUUAGCCCGAUGGCACCGGUGAAUGACUCCCCUAG
RNAcentral lists this ribosomal RNA (394 nucleotides) under Acanthamoeba genotype T4. RNAcentral describes it as "SSU rRNA". The stretch from base 1 to 339 matches the Rfam family "Eukaryotic small subunit ribosomal RNA", at positions 786 to 1114 of the family's 1831-position model. Lineage: Eukaryota; Discosea; Longamoebia; Acanthamoebidae. The record is from RNAcentral.